Molecule: transfer RNA, 63 nt
Filed under: Patella ferruginea
Lineage: Eukaryota; Metazoa; Mollusca; Gastropoda; Patellidae
Description: tRNA-Phe
Source: RNAcentral
UAAGAGAUGGCUGAGUAACAAGCACUGGAGUGAAGUCCCAGGUACGGUAUAUACCUCUCUUUG